CUGCAGCUCAAGUGGUGACCACUAUUAUUGGGCCUAAAACGUUCGUAACCGGUUUGGUAAAUGCCUGGGUAAAUCGUGUAGCUUAACUAUACGAAUUCCGGGUAGACUGCCAAACUUGAGACCGGGAGAAGCUAGAGGUACUCCUGGGGUAGAGGUGAAAUUCUGUAAUCCUGGGGGGACCACCAGUGGCGAAGGCGUCUAGCUAGAACGGGUCUGACGGUGAGGAACGAAGCCCUGGGGCGCAAACCGGAUUAGAUACCCGAGUAGUCC
Molecule: ribosomal RNA, 270 nt
Filed under: uncultured archaeon
Lineage: Archaea
Description: partial 16S ribosomal RNA
Rfam family: Archaeal small subunit ribosomal RNA
Source: RNAcentral